Molecule: ribosomal RNA, 303 nt
Filed under: uncultured bacterium
Lineage: Bacteria
Description: partial 16S ribosomal RNA
Rfam family: Bacterial small subunit ribosomal RNA
Source: RNAcentral
AGCAGUCGCCGCGGUAAUACGGAGGGUGCAAGCGUUAAUCGGAAUUACUGGGCGUAAAGCGCACGUAGGCGGCUACCCAAGUCGGGGGUGAAAGCCCGGGGCUCAACCCCGGAACUGCCCUCGAAACUAGGUAGCUAGAAUCUUGGAGAGGUCAGUGGAAUUCCGAGUGUAGAGGUGAAAUUCGUAGAUAUUCGGAAGAACACCAGUGGCGAAGGCGACUGACUGGACAAGUAUUGACGCUGAGGUGCGAAAGCGUGGGGAGCAAACAGGAUUAGAGACCCGCGUAGUCCCUGUCUCUUAUAC